UACGAAGGGGGCUAGCGUUGCUCGGAAUCACUGGGCGUAAAGGGUGCGUAGGCGGGUCUUUAAGUCAGGGGUGAAAUCCUGGAGCUCAACUCCAGAACUGCCUUUGAUACUGAAGAUCUUGAGUUCGGGAGAGGUGAGUGGAACUGCGAGUGUAGAGGUGAAAUUCGUAGAUAUUCGCAAGAACACCAGUGGCGAAGGCGGCAUCCUGGACCGACACUGACACUGAGGAGCGAAAGCCAGGGGAGCAAACGGG
This 253-nucleotide ribosomal RNA is filed under the name uncultured bacterium. RNAcentral describes it as "partial 16S ribosomal RNA". It matches the Rfam family "Bacterial small subunit ribosomal RNA", at positions 524 to 776 of the family's 1533-position model. The record is from RNAcentral.